ACUCCUACGGGAGGCAGCAGUGGGGAAUAUUGCACAAUGGGGGAAACCCUGAUGCAGCCAUGCCGCGUGUGUGAAGAAGGCCUCGGUUGUAAAGCACUUCAGUAGGGAGGAAGGUAGUGUAGUUAACACCUGCACUAUUUGACGUUACCUACAGAAGAAGCACCGGCUAACUCCGUGCCAGCAGCCGCGGUAAUACGGAGGGGUGCGAGCGUUAAUCGGAAUUACUGGGCGUAAAGCGCAUGCAGGCGGCCUGUUAAGUCAGAUGUGAAAGCCCGGGGGCUUAACCUCGGAAUUGCAUUUGAAACUGGCAGGCUAGAGUCUUGUAGAGGGGGUUA
Molecule: ribosomal RNA, 335 nt
Filed under: uncultured bacterium
Lineage: Bacteria
Description: bacterial SSU rRNA
Rfam family: Bacterial small subunit ribosomal RNA
Source: RNAcentral